CCUACGGGGGGCAGCAGUGAGGAAUAUUGGUCAAUGGUCGGAAGACUGAACCAGCCAAGCCGCGUGAGGGACGAAGGUACUAAGUAUCGUAAACCUCUUUUGUCAGGGAACAAAGUCUGGGACGUGUCCCCGCCCGAGGGUACCCGAAGAAAAAGCAUCGGCAAACUCCGUGCCAGCAGCCGCGGUAAUACGGAGGAUGCGAGCGUUUGCCGGAUUUAUUGGGUUUUAAGGGUGCGUAGGCGGGCUGUUAAGUCAGCGGUAAAAGCCCGGGGCUAAACCCCGGCCCGCCGUUGAAACUGGCGGUCUUGAGUGGGCGAGAGGUAUGCGGAAUGCGUGGUGUAGCGGUGAAAUGCAUAGAUAUCGCGCAGAACUCCGAUUGCGAAGGCAGCAUACCGGCGCCGUACUGACGCUGAGGCACGAAAGCGGGGGUAUCGAACAGGAUUAGAUACCCCUGUAGUC
RNAcentral lists this ribosomal RNA (459 nucleotides) under uncultured bacterium. Its description in RNAcentral is "partial 16S ribosomal RNA". It matches the Rfam family "Bacterial small subunit ribosomal RNA", at positions 338 to 795 of the family's 1533-position model. The record is from RNAcentral.